UUCCGGUUGAUCCCGCCGGACCCCACUGCUAUCGAGAUGGGACUAAGCCAUGCUAGUUGAACGACCCGAACUAUGGCGGGAAGUGGCACACUGCUCAGUAACACGUAGCUAACCUACCUUAGGACGGGUACAACCCCGGGAAACUGAGGUUAAUACCCGAUAGGUGUGGAAACCUGGAAUGGUACCACGCCCAAACGUAACGCAACCAUGUUUGCGUAAACGCCCAAGGAUGGGGCUGCGGCCGAUCAGGCAGUUGGUGAGGUAACGGCUCACCAAACCUUUGACCGGUACGGGCCCUGAGAGGGGUAGCCCGGAGAUGGGAACUGAGACAAGGUCCCAGGCCCUACGGGGCGCAGCAGGCGCGAAACCUCCACAAUACACGAAUGUGUGAUGGGGUUAUCCCGAGUGCCAUCCGCUGAGGACGGCUUUUCUUCAUUGUAUGUAGCUGGAGGAAUAAGAGGGGGGCAAGACUGGUGUCAGCCGCCGCGGUAAUACCAGCCCCUCGAGUGGUAGGGACGAUUAUUUAGCCUAAAGCGUUCGUAGCCGGCUUAACCAGUCCUUCGUGAAAUCCGAUGACUUAAUCGUCGGGCGUGCGAGGGAUAUUGUUAGGCUUGGGGACGGGAGAAGUCGACGGUAGUCCCGGUGUAGGGGUGAAAUCCUAUAAUCCCGGGAGGACCACCAGUGGCGAAGGCGGUCGACUAGAACGCGCCCGACGGUGAUGGACGAAAGCUGGGGGAGCGAACCGGAUUAGAUACCCGGGUAGUCCCAGCUGUAAACGAUGCGAGCUAGGUGUUGGGGCAGCCACGAGCUGCUCCAGUGCCGCAGGGAAGCUCUUAAGCUCGCCGCUUGGGAAGUACGGUCGCAAGGCUGAAACUUAAAGGAAUUGGCGGGGGAGCACCACAAGGGGUGAAGCCUGCGGUUUAAUUGGAGUCAACGCCGGG
RNAcentral lists this ribosomal RNA (941 nucleotides) under uncultured archaeon. Its description in RNAcentral is "bacterial SSU rRNA". It matches the Rfam family "Archaeal small subunit ribosomal RNA", at positions 1 to 922 of the family's 1478-position model. The record is from RNAcentral.